RNAcentral lists this transfer RNA (62 nucleotides) under uncultured Clostridium sp. It matches the Rfam family "tRNA", at positions 6 to 65 of the family's 71-position model. Rfam says of the family: Transfer RNA (tRNA) molecules are approximately 80 nucleotides in length. Their secondary structure includes four short double-helical elements and three loops (D, anti-codon, and T loops). The record is from RNAcentral. Lineage: Bacteria; Bacillati; Bacillota; Clostridia; Eubacteriales; Clostridiaceae. RNAcentral also lists the same sequence under 1 other name.
AUUAGCUCAGUUGGUAGAGCAGUAGACUCUUAAUCUAUUUGUCCAGGGUUCGAGUCCCUGAU